GGCCUAACACAUGCAAGUCGAACGGUAACAGGUCUUCGGAUGCUGACGAGUGGCGAACGGGUGAGUAAUACAUCGGAACGUGCCCGAUCGUGGGGGAUAACGCAGCGAAAGCUGUGCUAAUACCGCAUACGAUCUACGGAUGAAAGCGGGGGAUCGCAAGACCUCGCGCGGACGGAGCGGCCGAUGGCAGAUUAGGUAGUUGGUGGGGUAAAGGCUCACCAAGCCUUCGAUCUGUAGCUGGUCUGAGAGGACGACCAGCCACACUGGGACUGAGACACGGCCCAGACUCCUACGGGAGGCAGCAGUGGGGAAUUUUGGACAAUGGGCGCAAGCCUGAUCCAGCCAUGCCGCGUGCAGGAUGAAGGCCUUCGGGUUGUAAACUGCUUUUGUACGGAACGAAAAGGUCUUUUUUAAUAAAGAGGGCCCAUGACGGUACCGUAAGAAUAAGCACCGGCUAACUACGUGCCAGCAGCCGCGGUAAUACGUAGGGUGCAAGCGUUAAUCGGAAUUACUGGGCGUAAAGCGUGCGCAGGCGGUAAUGUAAGACAGAUGUGAAAUCCCCGGGCUCAACCUGGGAACUGCAUUUGUGACUGCAUUGCUGGAGUGCGGCAGAGGGGGAUGGAAUUCCGCGUGUAGCAGUGAAAUGCGUAGAUAUGCGGAGGAACACCGAUGGCGAAGGCAAUCCCCUGGGCCUGCACUGACGCUCAUGCACGAAAGCGUGGGGAGCAAACAGGAUUAGAUACCCUGGUAGUCCACGCCCUAAACGAUGUCAACUGGUUGUUGGGUCUUCAUUGACUCAGUAACGAAGCUAACGCGUGAAGUUGACCG
This 828-nucleotide ribosomal RNA is filed under the name uncultured Burkholderiales bacterium. RNAcentral's name for it is "bacterial SSU rRNA". It matches the Rfam family "Bacterial small subunit ribosomal RNA", at positions 45 to 871 of the family's 1533-position model. Lineage: Bacteria; Pseudomonadati; Pseudomonadota; Betaproteobacteria; Burkholderiales. The record is from RNAcentral.